RNAcentral lists this transfer RNA (57 nucleotides) under Ovis aries (sheep). It matches the Rfam family "tRNA", at positions 8 to 63 of the family's 71-position model. Rfam says of the family: Transfer RNA (tRNA) molecules are approximately 80 nucleotides in length. Their secondary structure includes four short double-helical elements and three loops (D, anti-codon, and T loops). Lineage: Eukaryota; Metazoa; Chordata; Mammalia; Artiodactyla; Bovidae. The record is from Rfam by way of RNAcentral.
UGGCUUAGACGGUAAAGCGUCUGCCUACAAUGCAGGAGACCCAGGUUCGAUCCCUGG